RNAcentral lists this ribosomal RNA (370 nucleotides) under uncultured organism. Its description in RNAcentral is "bacterial SSU rRNA". It matches the Rfam family "Bacterial small subunit ribosomal RNA", at positions 526 to 896 of the family's 1533-position model. The record is from RNAcentral.
CGUAGGGUGCGAGCGUUAAUCGGAAUUACUGGGCGUAAAGCGUGCGCAGGCGGUUAUAUAAGACAGAUGUGAAAUCCCCGGGCUCAACCUGGGAACUGCAUUUGUGACUGUAUAGCUAGAGUACGGCAGAGGGGGAUGGAAUUCCGCGUGUAGCAGUGAAAUGCGUAGAUAUGCGGAGGAACACCGAUGGCGAAGGCAAUCCCCUGGGCCUGUACUGACGCUCAUGCACGAAAGCGUGGGGAGCAAACAGGAUUAGAUACCCUGGUAGUCCACACCCUAAACGAUGUCAACUGGUUGUUGGGUCUUCACUGACUCAGUAACGAAGCUAACGCGUGAAGUUGACCGCCUGGGGAGUACGGCCGCAAGGUUG